CCGCCUCCCUCCUAACCCCCUCCCCCCUUGUGCAGCCGCCCCCCACUUCUCCCACACCUUGGCCGCCGCCCCCCUGCCCAUCUCCUCCUCUCUCAAUUCUUGCAGCCGCACCACCAAACCCUAGCCGCCCCCCAAUCUCCUCCUCCCAAGGUGCCAAUCCUUGCCGCUCGGAUCAUCGUCACGUGGUGCGAGCCUUCAAUCGUUUUGGUGGAGGGAAGAAGGGAGGAAGGAAAGGGGGAGAAUCCAAGGUGAUUUUUGUGUUCAUCCCUUGUUCAUUUGCGCUGCAAUUCAAUUGAUUAGAGGUUGCGUUUGCGAUUGGGUAGAGGGGGCUGUCCAGAAUUUUAGGUGGUGGAUGAACAGCAGUAGUUCUAGCAGUUUCUGUGUUUUUUUCGUGAGAAGUUAAGGGAAACAAGUUUGGGGAUCAUGUAGAACUUUGUCUUACCUUUCCAACGAGUAUUUAUGCGCUCAAUUUGGAGUUAUAAAUUGAAAGUUAUCACCGUUUGAAUCCGGGUAUAUGGCUGUCCAAAAAACAGAUUUUCAGGGGGAUGAACAGCAGCAGUAUUAGCAGUUUCUGGGGAUUUUUCGAGAGUAAUUAGGGUUAAUCAGUAUAAGAAUCAUGAAGGGCUCUUUCUUAUCUUUCCAACAAGUACUUAUGCACUUGAUUCGGAAUUAUAUUUUAAAAGUUAUCGCUGUUUGAAUCCGAGUAUGUCGCUGCCCAAAACAGGAAAAAAAACAGAUUGCAGGGUUUAUUUUGUGGACCGUUUAGGGUAACUAGAUGUUAGAAUUUAAUCAUAAAUUGUAUACAAAAAUUGUGGGGAAUUUUAUGUAGUUGCCUCUGGAGUUUUUGUUUGACACCACUGCUGUCUUAAUUUUAAAGUUAUGGAAUUGUUAAGCAGCGCCGCUGCAGUUUGGUUGGUGUGGGGAGAAUUGUUACCCGCGGCGGGGUUUGAGAUUGCGCGUAGGUGCGGCGUUGUUUUGAGUUUUUUUAUGUGAAUUUGGUGCACUAAGUUGGGUGUCAAAAACAGGUGGUGGACUCCCAGAUCGUUCUUAGGGGAUUUGCCCAAACUUCCGGUGAAGGCAAGUAAAACUGUGAUGGUUAUUCCGUCUGUCAGAUGAGGAGUCUUAUACUUGAUUAUGUUGUGCUAUUGUGUUCAUAUUCAUAUUUUAUUUUGAGUACCAUCAUUUGAAAAUGUUCAUGUUUCAUGGAUUUCAUAUGUUGAGUUUGAGGUUUGAUUAUGUUACUCAAGUGGUUAUUAUGUGGAAUGGGUGGAAGUAAAUGUCUAGCACAUUUUUUAUUUGGGAAGAACUCAUGAUGUGUCAUGCAUAAUGCACUCAUCAUCCAUUGCAUUGAAGUUUCGUCGCGAUCUUAUGGUCCGACCGUACCGGUACAUUGAGCAUCAUAUGUUGCCCGAGAAGGGGUAUGGUGCAGCUUCAUAUCCUUAGAGAUAUGGAGGCAGCAGUCAUUAUUGCAUUUGUAACCAUGUGCAUUCAUGGGAGAGGUGUGGAAUCUAUUAUGUGGAUGUGGAUAAUUUGGACUUGUGCAUGGUGACUCUACUUGGCGUUGAGAUUUUAGUUACUUAUUUACUUGCUGCAAUUUACUGUUCAAAAGAAAAGAAAGAAGUUCUGAACACGUGGUUGUGUAAGCACAGUUGAUUUACAAUGUCCUAUUGUUGUUGUUAUGUUUACUUGCUGAGAUGUGUUAUCUCACAUCUUGCAUUGUUUGAUGCAGGCACCUAAUUUCUGCUUUGGGAAUAGAGGGAUGUAGCAGCACGGCCACUACACCUUUAAUAAAGGAACCACCAUUUAAUAAUGUUGUUAAUCAGAGUUGGUCAAGUCUAGUGAAUUGCUUUGUUCUUGGUUGAGCGUUUAUUUUGGGGUGGGCUGAGUUUCUUAUCCCAUUGUUUUACUUCAGUUGGGGCAUAAAUGAGCUUUACCACUUUGCAUCUAGUUUCUACUAUGUGAAUUAUAUGUCUUUAUAUCUUGUAUGAACUUCAUGUUUUCCCCUCCUUGUUAUGUUAGUUUCAAAGGAGGUGCUGCCGGAUUUUGCUAUAUUUUCUUUCUUUAUUACGC
Molecule: long non-coding RNA, 2070 nt
Filed under: Zea mays
Lineage: Eukaryota; Viridiplantae; Streptophyta; Magnoliopsida; Poales; Poaceae
Description: long non-coding RNA (ZMAY_LNC002171)
Source: RNAcentral